This 1920-nucleotide long non-coding RNA is filed under the name Bos indicus x Bos taurus (hybrid cattle). RNAcentral's name for it is "lncRNA (ENSBIXG00000006132.1)". Lineage: Eukaryota; Metazoa; Chordata; Mammalia; Artiodactyla; Bovidae. The record is from RNAcentral.
GCUAGAUUGAUAUCUUAUCUAUUUCAUUUUUCUUGGUGCUAAUUAAAUGGUAUUCAUUUUAUUUGGGGGGGGGGUAAAUUGUAAUUUUUUUAUUGGAAAACAAAUAUACAACUUGGAAUGGAUUUGAGGCAAAUUGUGCCAUAAGCAGAUUUUCUUUAAGUGGCUAAAACAAAGUUUAAAAAGCAAGUUAACAAUAAAAGAAAAUGUUUCUGGUAUAGGACCAGCAGUACAAAAAAACAGUGUACGAGUACCUGGAUAAAACACCCGUUUUGCAAUAGUGCAACUUUUAAGUACAUGCUGUUGACUGUCCGUAGUCCACGCAGAGUUACAACUCCACACUUCAACAACAAAAUGCUGACAGUUCCUAAAAAAAACUACUCAAAAAAAAAAAAAAAAAAGGCAAAUAAACAAUUUUGUACAAGGAAUUUAACACAUUCUGUACAAUGUCUUCACUUUGCUGUCAUCAUUGGUACAAACUCUUCAUAGUUUACUUGACCAUCACCAUCAAUAUCUGCUUCCCUGAUCAUUUCAUCAACCUUUUCAUCUGUUAGCUUCUCUCCAAGGUUUGUCAUCACACGGUGGAGCGCUGCUGCACUAAUAUAGCCAUUACCAUCCUUAUCAAAUACAUGGAAUGCUUCUCUAAUUUCUUCUUCACUGUCUGUAUCUUUCAUUUUUCUUGCCAUCAUUGUCAGAAAUUCCGGGAAGUCAAUUGUGCCAUUACCUGCAAUCUGCUAUUCAGUCAGUUGGUCAGCCAUGCUGCAAGCGCUACCGGUCUCCGGGACGCAAUCACACAACCACUCAGCUCGCUCGCUCCACUUGGACUCAAUGGUAUUCAUUUUAACUUAACAUUCCAAUUGUUCAUUUCUAGUUUCAGUUCAUUUCAGUUGCUCAGUCGUGUCCAAUUCUUUGCGACCCCAUGACAUUUAUAGGAAAGCAAUUUAUUUUUGUAUAUUUUGUGUAUUAACCAUGUGCCUUGCUAGGAUUGAUGUGAGGGGACAUCUUUACCUUACUCCUGUCUUAGUGUGAAGGAAUCUAUUUUCUCACCAUUAAGUAAGUUGUUAGCUAUAGGGUUUGGGGGGUGUUUUUUUUUAAUUUGCUAAGUUAAAAAAAAUUUUUUUUUCAUUUAUUUAUUUUUGGCUGUGUUGGGUCUUUAUUGCUGCACAAGGGCUUUCUCUAGUUUUGGAGAGUGGAGGCUACUCUCUAAUUGUGGUGCAUAGGCCCUCGUUGUGGUGGCUUUUCUUGUUGCAGAGCACAGACUCUAGGGCACGUGGGUUUCAGGAGUUGUGGCACACAGGUUUAGGUACCCUGUAGCAUGUGGGAUCUGCCUGGAUCAGGGAUCGAACCAGUGUCUGCUGACGUCUCCUGGAUUGCAAGGCAGAUUCUUAAUCACUGGACCACCAGGGAAGCCCCAGCUUUAAGUUUUGACGUUAAGGUAAAGCUAUGUUUACGAUGUUAUUUAUCAAAUUGAGGAAAUUCUUCUCUGUUCCUAGAUUGCUGAGAUUUUUUAAAAAUCAUGAAUGGGUGUUAGAUUUUUAUCAAAUGCAUUUUUUGCAUCUAUUGAUAUGUUCAUGUGAUGUUUCUCCUUUAACCUGUUGAUGAGAUUGACUAUAUUAAUUUUCCAGUAGUGAUCCAGCAGUGUAUGAGCCUCUUGAUCAUGCAUAUAAUUCUUUUUAUAUAUUGUUGCAUCCCAUUUGAUAAUUUUUAUGAGAAGUUUUAUAUCUGUUUUCAUAGUAUUGGUCUAUAAUUGGUUUUGUAAUGUCUUUGUCUGGUUUUGACAUUAAGGUAAAGCUAACCCUUAGGAUGAGUUAGGAGAUAUUCCCUCUACCUCUAUCUAAUGGAAGAAAUUUUAGAGAACUGGUAUAAUUUCUUCCUUAAAUGUUUGGUAGAAUUCAGCAGUGAGUGCAUCUAGAUUUGCUUUUU